UUUGUAGUUGUUGCCAUUUGUUACAAUGCAAUUUAAUAGAGAUCUUUUUCUAAAGAUUAUGUGGAGUGUCUUUCCAGCUAUAUUUGUCACGAUAAAGUAUUGUUUUUUUGCGGUUCAGGCGGGCACUAAAAAUUGAAAAUAAAAUAAACAGGUGAAGCAAUUGCUGGAGCGAAUCCGAAAUGAUUGGAGUUUAUUGAAAAGUAAAUUGGAAAUUGAUAUUAUAGAAAAGUACGCUAGCAACGCAAAGCUUUUCACAAUAAUUUUAACGGCUGUACACAUCACUAGCCUAUUUUUUACGGUGGUAUUACAAUUUUGGCCACUGAUUCUUAAUGUUAUAUUACCAUUGAACGAAUCACGAUCCUGUGAACUUUUCGUAGUCGUGGAAUAUUUUGUCAACAAGGAGAAAUAUCUGUACGUUAUGCUAUUACACGAAUUUUUAACUAUGUACAUAGGAAUGACUACAUUGCAUUUCACCAGUAUCACAUUUGUAAUAUAUAUUCUGCAUACGUGUGCACUGCUCAAAAUUGCAAGCCAUCGAGUGGAAACCGUGUUCGACAUAAGUAUGUUAACUAAUCCUAGAAGAGAGUAUCUUUUUUCUCAGAAGAUUGCAGAUGUAGUUGUUGUGCAUCGAAGGGCUAUUGAGUCAGUAUUUUUAUAUUUAUGUUGUGGUACUUUCUGUAUAAUAUCUUAUUUCCUGUAUUGCUUUUUAUCUUUUAAAAG
Molecule: non-coding RNA, 720 nt
Organism: Linepithema humile (Argentine ant)
Lineage: Eukaryota; Metazoa; Arthropoda; Insecta; Hymenoptera; Formicidae
Source: RefSeq, a predicted model, not a curated record